Long non-coding RNA from Gambusia affinis (western mosquitofish), 558 nucleotides. RefSeq lists it as uncharacterized. Lineage: Eukaryota; Metazoa; Chordata; Actinopteri; Cyprinodontiformes; Poeciliidae. The record is from RefSeq and is a predicted model, not a curated record. The transcript has 4 exons.
AGGAACUUCUUCACACCGGAAUGCUGAACAUGAGGGAUUUCACCUGUAAUCCCUCCAGUAGUGCUGCUCACAACUGGACUCAGUGCGCUGUCUGUAGAGGUCAUGGUGGAGGUCACGGUUACUCUCAACCCCACCCAUCCACAGCUUGUCCAUCCUUAGUGGUCUCCAGCACUAUCUUCCACCCUCAUCUAUUGGACUGGAUUGUUGCAUCAUUACUAGUUUGUAAACACAACAAAAGAAUUGACUCAAACUGAUAAGAAUGCUGACAUGUGAGGAGCUGUCUGGGAUCCUGAGAUAAGCCAACAGGAAGUAUGCUUACUCAGAAGAGCAUCAUGGUGACAGUGGAAAUGAUCUGAAUGCAUCUUUUAUCUGAGUCUUUAAUAAAAUGACUCCCCAAAGCAUCCACCUAGUUGACCUUUAUUUUCCUUACAGCUACUCUUCCAACGAGCUGCACAUCCCAAAAGUGGAAAAAACUGUUUCUGCUAAACAAAGGAAAUCCUUUGGACAGGGCAGAGCUGUCCUCAUAUGAAAGGACAACAAUAGAAAUGGGCUUUGGUG